CUGCGGCCACAUCAGGUUUAAACACCGGUUCUUUAACAAUCACUGAAGUUAAGCAACGUCGAGCCCAGCCAGUACCUAGAUGGGCGACCGCUUGGGAAUACUAGGUGCUGUAAG
Acanthosepion pharaonis is the source of this 114-nucleotide non-coding RNA. NCBI's taxonomy places the organism in Eukaryota, Metazoa, Mollusca, Cephalopoda, Sepiida, Sepiidae. The record is from the annotation of a GenBank genome assembly.